GACGAACGCUGGCGGCAUGCCUAAUACAUGCAAGUCGAGCGAACAGAUGAAGUGCUUGCACUUCUGACGUUAGCGGCGAACGGGUGAGUAACACGUAAGGAAUCUACCUAUAAGCGGGGGAUAACAUUCGGAAACGGGUGCUAAUACCGCAUAAUAUCUUCUUCCGCAUGGAAGAAGAUUGAAAGACGGCUCUGCUGUCACUUAUAGAUGACCUUGCGGUGCAUUAGUUAGUUGGUGGGGUAACGGCCUACCAAGACGAUGAUGCAUAGCCGACCUGGGAGGGUGAUCGGCCACACUGGGACUGAGACACGGCCCAAACUCCUACGGGAGGCAGCAGUAGGGAAUCUUCCGCAGGGGGCGAAAGCCUGACGGAGCAAUGCCGCGUGAGUGAAGAAGGCCUUCGGGUCGUAAAACUCUGUUAUAAGAGAAGAACAAAUUGUAGAGUAACUGCUACAGUCUUGACGGUAUCUUAUCAGAAAGCCACGGCUAACUACGUGCCAGCAGCCGCCGUAA
Molecule: ribosomal RNA, 513 nt
Filed under: uncultured bacterium
Lineage: Bacteria
Description: partial 16S ribosomal RNA
Rfam family: Bacterial small subunit ribosomal RNA
Source: RNAcentral